This 687-nucleotide ribosomal RNA is filed under the name Inocybe xanthomelas. RNAcentral's name for it is "16S ribosomal RNA". It matches the Rfam family "Bacterial small subunit ribosomal RNA", at positions 413 to 943 of the family's 1533-position model. The record is from RNAcentral. Lineage: Eukaryota; Fungi; Basidiomycota; Agaricomycetes; Agaricales; Inocybaceae.
ACUAGCUAACUGAAAUCACAAAAUCACAAAAUGUGCUUAUUGUGAUAACGUAAGGGAAAAAAAUGAUAUUACCUUACUAUAAGUGUUGUCUAAAUAACUGGUGCCAGAAGACUCGGUAACACCAGAAACGCGAACGUUAGUCGUCUUAAACAGGCGUAAAGGGUAAGUAGGCUGCUUUAAAAUCUAUUUUUAAAUAAGCUAAUUUAUAAUAAUCCGCUAAAAAGCUGAUUGCGCGUAGCGCCUCCCUUAGGAUAUUUUAUUAAAAAGGAGAGGCGCUACGCAGACUAAAAAAUUUCAUACCUUAAAUUAUAUUUAAGGCUAACUUACUUUUAAAAAUGAAAAUAAGGAAUUAUAAAAAUUUAAAAAAUAGAAACAUUUAAAGCUAGAAUCAUAAUUGAGAUAAACCAAAUAAUACUUAUGUGUAAGGGCGAUAUCUGAAAAUACUAAGUAGAAUACUAAUAGUGAAAACUUUUUAUCUGGUAAUGAUUGACGCUGAGGUACGAAAGUGAGAACAGGGAAUAGGAUUAGAUACCCAGUUACCUCUCACCGUCAACGAUGAAUGGUAGUUGUUAGUUUAAUUAAAUUAGUGACGAUGUUAACACGAUAACCAUUCCGCCUUGAGAGUACGGUUGCAAAACUGAAACCAAAAAAAUUAGUCGGUCUCGGAGCCAAACGGGACUAAGCAUU